AGGAUGAACGCUGGCGGCGUGCCUAACACAUGCAAGUCGAGCGGACUUAUUAGGAGAGCGACUUCGGUCAACCACCUAAUAAGUAGCGGCGGAUGGGUGAGUAACGCGUGGGAAACCUACCUUAUAGAGGGGGAUAGCCUCGAGAAAUCGGGAUUAAUACCCCAUAAAACCAAGAGUUCACAUGAAUUCCUGGUCAAAGCGACUAAGCGCUAUAAGAUGGUCCCGCGUCCCAUUAGCUAGUUGGUGAGAUAAAAGCCCACCAAGGCAACGAUGGGUAGCCGACCUGAGAGGGUGAUCGGCCACACUGGGACUGAGACACGGCCCAGACUCCUACGGGAGGCAGCAGUGGGGAAUAUUGCGCAAUGGGGGGAACCCUGAACCGCAGCAACGCCGCGUGAGCGACGAAGGCCUUCGGGUCGUAAAGCUCUGUCAUAAGGGAUGAUAAUGACAGUACCUUAAGAGGAAGCCCCGGCUAACUACGUGCCAGCAGCCGC
Molecule: ribosomal RNA, 494 nt
Filed under: uncultured bacterium
Lineage: Bacteria
Description: bacterial SSU rRNA
Rfam family: Bacterial small subunit ribosomal RNA
Source: RNAcentral